This is a non-coding RNA of Stegodyphus mimosarum, 73 nucleotides long. Lineage: Eukaryota; Metazoa; Arthropoda; Arachnida; Araneae; Eresidae. The record is from Rfam.
GCCUUCGUGGUGUAGCGGUCAGCACGCUCGACGCGCAACAGACAGGUCCGUGGUUCGAUUCCCGGCGAAGGCG